RNAcentral lists this unclassified non-coding RNA (387 nucleotides) under fungal sp. RNAcentral's name for it is "partial internal transcribed spacer region". The stretch from base 1 to 46 matches the Rfam family "Eukaryotic small subunit ribosomal RNA", at positions 1786 to 1831 of the family's 1831-position model. The record is from RNAcentral. Lineage: Eukaryota; Fungi.
AAGUCGUAACAAGGUUUCCGUAGGUGAACCUGCGGAAGGAUCAUUAACACGUUAUCCAUACGUUAACCAACGAGAAUUGUUUUCACGCUCCCUUCACGGAGAAUGAGCGGGGUUCGUAGAGGUGUUGAAAGGGAUUGUUUCGGCAGUCAGCCUCUAUCUACUAUUUUUGUAUUACAGAAAUGUUUGCAAAGACGCUGUAUCUUUUGUGGAGAUUAAUCUCGCCAGAGCUCCCCUUUCAUUGAGAGCUGGUCGGGAACUAUAUUAACUUAUUUCACCUUUUUUGCUAGUUGACUUUUAUAUGUUGAACACUAUACAUUGUGUUUUGUUCACACGUUUAUUAUUUGAACGUUAAAAUUACAACUCUUAGCAAUGGAUAUCUUGGUUCUC